This 511-nucleotide ribosomal RNA is filed under the name bacterium enrichment culture clone Cont301_3131. Its description in RNAcentral is "bacterial SSU rRNA". It matches the Rfam family "Bacterial small subunit ribosomal RNA", at positions 8 to 525 of the family's 1533-position model. The record is from RNAcentral.
AGAGUUUGAUCCUGGCUCAGGAUUAACGCUAGCGGCGUGCCUUAUGCAUGCAAGUCGUACGGGGUGCCGCAAGGCACUCAGUGGCGAACGGGUGAGUAACACGUAAGUAACCUGCCCCUGGGUGGGGAAUAACCCACCGAAAGGUGGGGUAAUACCGCAUAUGGUCCUUUGCCAUAAGGUAGAGGACUAAAGCCCCAAAAGGGCGCUCGGGGAGGGCUUGCGUCCGAUUAGCUAGWYGGURGGGURACGGCCUACCGUGGCGAUGAUCGGUAGCUGGUCUGAGAGGACGGCCAGCCACACGGGGACUGAGACACGGCCCCGACUCCUACGGGAGGCAGCAGCAAGGAAUCUUCCGCAAUGGGGGCAACCCUGACGGAGCAACGCCGCGUGGGGGAUGACGCCCUUCGGGGUGUAAACCCCUUUUCUGCGGGAAGAAGGKCGGGGCAWCCGCGCCUUGACGGUACCGSAGGAAGAAGGACCGGCUAACUACGUGCCAGCAGCCGCGGUAAUA